CGAUGGAGGGUUUUGAGCAAGGAGUGAUUUGGUUUGACUCAGGCUACAAAAGGAUCUUUCUGACUGCCACACUGAGGAUGUUCUGGAAGAGGCAAAAGUGGAGGCAGGGCUGUUACAAUGGUCGGAGUAAGGAAUGAUGGUGGCUUGGAACAGGGUGUCGGUGAUAGAGAGCACUGCGCAUGUGCAAGACGGAAAUCCUUGUUUCUGCGAUGAUCCAGGAAGCGGAAUCGUCAGUCUCUGGAAGAGAAAUAUUGCCACCGGACCCCUUAACGAAGUGAGAAGUCCUUCAAUAAGGAAAAUCUGGCUUCCAGCACCGCAGUUUUGGCUUUUCCUCCAGCAUGCAGAUGUCCCAGGGCAGGGAUCAAAUCUGCAGCACAGCACCACAGCAGAGACCUGGGCCACAG
Molecule: long non-coding RNA, 404 nt
Organism: Phacochoerus africanus (Common warthog)
Lineage: Eukaryota; Metazoa; Chordata; Mammalia; Artiodactyla; Suidae
Exons: 3
Source: RefSeq, a predicted model, not a curated record